RNAcentral lists this ribosomal RNA (491 nucleotides) under uncultured bacterium. RNAcentral describes it as "partial 16S ribosomal RNA". It matches the Rfam family "Bacterial small subunit ribosomal RNA", at positions 29 to 506 of the family's 1533-position model. The record is from RNAcentral.
AGUGAACGCUGGCGGUAGGCCUAACACAUGCAAGUCGAACGGCAGCACAGUAAGAGCUUGCUCUUACGGGUGGCGAGUGGCGGACGGGUGAGGAAUACAUCGGAAUCUACUUUUUCGUGGGGGAUAACGUAGGGAAACUUACGCUAAUACCGCAUACGACCUACGGGUGAAAGCAGGGGAUCUUCGGACCUUGCGCGAUUGAAUGAGCCGAUGUCGGAUUAGCUAGUUGGCGGGGUAAAGGCCCACCAAGGCGACGAUCCGUAGCUGGUCUGAGAGGAUGAGCAGCCACAAUGGAACUGAGACACGGCCCAGACUCCUACGGGAGGCAGCAGGGGGGAAUAUUGGAAAAGGGGCGCAAGCCUGAUCCAGCCAUACCGGGGGGGUGAAGAAGGCCUUCGGGUUGUAAAGCCCUUUUGUGGGGAAAGAAAAGCAGCAGGUUAAUACCCCGCUGUUCUGACGGUACCCAAAGAAUAAGCACCGGCUAACUUCGU